Molecule: transfer RNA, 69 nt
Filed under: Bos taurus (domestic cattle)
Lineage: Eukaryota; Metazoa; Chordata; Mammalia; Artiodactyla; Bovidae
Also listed under: 4 other names
Source: Rfam by way of RNAcentral
CCUGAUUGCUCAGUUGGUAAAGAAUCUGCCCACAAUGCAGAAGACCCAGGUUGGAUUCCUGGGUCAGGA